RNAcentral lists this small RNA (557 nucleotides) under uncultured Fusobacterium sp. Its description in RNAcentral is "bacterial SSU rRNA". The stretch from base 1 to 341 matches the Rfam family "Bacterial small subunit ribosomal RNA", at positions 1194 to 1533 of the family's 1533-position model. Lineage: Bacteria; Fusobacteriati; Fusobacteriota; Fusobacteriia; Fusobacteriales; Fusobacteriaceae. The record is from RNAcentral.
CAUGCCCCUUAUACGCUGGGCUACACACGUGCUACAAUGGGUAGAACAGAGAGUCGCAAAGCUGUGAAGUGGAGCUAAUCUCAGAAAACUAUUCUUAGUUCGGAUUGUACUCUGCAACUCGAGUACAUGAAGUUGGAAUCGCUAGUAAUCGCGAAUCAGCAAUGUCGCGGUGAAUACGUUCUCGGGUCUUGUACACACCGCCCGUCACACCACGAGAGUUGGUUGCACCUGAAGUAGCAGGCCUAACCGUAAGGAGGGAUGCUCCGAGGGUGUGAUUAGCGAUUGGGGUGAAGUCGUAACAAGGUAUCCGUACGGGAACGUGCGGAUGGAUCACCUCCUUUCUAAGGAGUAUAAGUCUUUCUCUAUUCUAUUGGUAAUGUUCUUACAUUACUUCUGAACAUUGGAAACUAUAUAGUAGAACAAACAAGAAAAAAAUUAACUCUAACAAUUUCUUAGAGUUAGCUGUCAAAAAAAUAGGUUAAAAUAAUUAAGGGCACACAAAGGAUGCCUAGGUAGUAAGAGCCGAUGAAGGACGUGGUAAGCUGCGAUAAGCCUAG